UCAUUUCUGUGCCUCACAGGAUGGCACAAAGGACCUGGCCAGGAAAUUUUUUAGUAGAUGAAGGAAUAAGGAGAACCUGAUUUAUAUAGUUAAUCUAAUCUCUUAUUUCUGUAGUUAAUAUUUCCCACAUCCCUUUAAAUGACUGAAUAAACUAUCAAAUAAAGAUAUAUUUUUAAAUAUCCAUGGAUCUUUUAAAUCAAAAAUCCAGUUCAAUAAAUCCAAGGCCCUUAAUUAAUUUAAAAUUCCCAUGUUGGUUUUUUAAAAUAUUUUUUUAGUUGUUGAUGGACCUUUAUUUUAUGCAUUUAUUUAUUUGCGGUGCUGAGAACUGAACCCAGUGCCUCACACAUGUGAGGCAAGCACUCUACCACUGAGCCACAAUCCAGCCCCCCAUGAUGUUCUUAUUAAUGAAUGUUUGUAUCAUGCUACGCAUUUUUUUAAAGUUGAUCAUAUCAUUCAAGUAAUUGGAACAGUGUUGCAAAAGUAGCAGGUAGAGGUGACUGCUGACACAUGCUCCUAACAACUCCUGAGUCUCCUUGCUGCUCAAGUGCUAUACGGUCCUUGGAAGUUCUCAAGGAGGUAAAUGCUGUUACCUGGCCUAUCAAUUCUUGAGGGUGGGAAAAGUGAACUCGACCUGUUUCAGACUUUUUCCCUCUGCUUGAGUGUUUUCCAGAAGGUUCUACUCCCUAAUUUGCUCCUUCCAGAGGUCUUGUUCCCUGAUUCACUCCUUCCGGAAAGUCCUGUUCCUUAAUGACUCCUUCCAUCCAAAGUGAUUGUGCAUCCAACCUGAUCCUUUUCAUCCUUACUUUCUCUCCAACCACUGAACAUGCUACUUUACAGUGGUUCCUUCUUUGAAAUAAACAUGUUGGCCCUUCUCUUAAUAGUCACAGAUACCAGAACAUAAAUUUUUAAAUUACCAGAACACAAAAUAUAUAAUUCCUUUCAUAUCAGGUUGCAAAAUUUGUACUCUUUGUUUUCUUGCCCAUGAGUUAAACUUGCCUCGGUAUGGCAAGACUUUUUGAGUCUAUACAAUGCCCAUACCAGACCUCCUCCUAGGUACUUGGGGAAAGAAAAUGAAGAAGGCAAUCUAGUGGGGGACACAAUGACAAGGACAGGUAGAAGGAAUGAGGCUUUGAGGAGCUGUAGAAGGGACCUUUUUCCAUCUUGAAAAAAAAAUCCCUGUGUUCCUGUUGUGUCAUCUUCUGUGGAAGAUAGAACACACUCAACUGCCAAGAGACUACAGUACAGACGAUGUUUCACAAUCAAGAAGUUAGUAGCAGAAACAGGGGAAAUAACUUCUAAGCAGGAUGGGAAAAGGCAUGUGGUAGAAGACUGGCCUUCUAUGGGGUCUUAAAGAGUGACACCAUUGUCAAUCGGCAGUGCAGCAAGGAAUUUCCACCUAGAGAAAUGAGAGCAGCUGUAGUCUUGGAGGCUCAUGUGUCUGAGUUAAAUGGAGCUUAGGAGGAGACGGGAGGGUGAUGGCAAAUAUAGUGUGAAGAAUAGGUAGGGGUUUACAGCAUGCUUCCUGCUUGUGUUGGAUGCUUAGCCAAAGGAGUUUAGCCUUUAUUCAAAUAGAUCGUUUUGAAGUUUCUUGAGAAAUGUGGCUUAUGAAUCCUCUGAAGACACUGUUGCCAAAAUGAGCGAAGAGUGGAAGAAAGUAUAGCAAAUUAGACCAAUGGAGAAAAGAGACAUGAGAAAGACUAAUGAUGAAUGGGCAGGGAUUCGGAGCGUUUGCCUGGCUUUUCUAUUUAUUUCGAACCCUAUUUUAUUGUUUUGUGGUCUUGGUUGACUGACUGAUGAACGUAUCGAGGGUCACAAGCCAAACACCAUUCGGAGUGUCUUACAUGUCAUCUUUUCCUUGGUCACUUUAGUAAUUCAGUGAAUAGUAUCAGUAGUCAUAAUAAUUUUUGUUAAUAUGUCAGUAACCUUUGUACAGAUGAGGAAACUGAGGAAAGUUUCAAUAAGUGAGGAAAGUUGUGCAAUAAGUGAUAAAUUCAGCUCUGAAACCAAGCUGACUAACUGCAAGUCAGCCAACAUUCUUCCCCGAUGUGUGACACCUGUCCAUCAAUGUUCAGUCCAGUCCAUUUCACUGAGAGAAGUUGAUAGUUAUCCAUAUUAAUCCCAGAGUUUUGUCUUUCCUCAUCUGUAAAACAUGUAUUAUAGCACCUUCCUUCCACUUUCCACCUUAGAGGGUAUGAGGAUCAAAUUAUCAUGCACUGGAAGAUAUUUUUUAUACCCUAUAAUGCAUUGUAAAAAUAAAUCAUUUUUCCUAAAUCAUGUGUACACUUUAUUUUAUAAUCGACCU
This 2302-nucleotide long non-coding RNA is filed under the name Marmota monax (woodchuck). Lineage: Eukaryota; Metazoa; Chordata; Mammalia; Rodentia; Sciuridae. The record is from RNAcentral.